CCUACGGGUGGCUGCAGUGAGGAAUAUUGGUCAAUGGACGCAAGUCUGAACCAGCCAUGCCGCGUGGAGGAUGAAGGCCUUCUGGGUUGUAAACUUCUUUUAUUGGGGAAGAAAAGCACGGUUUCUACUGUGUCCGACGGUACCCAAGGAAUAAGCACCGGCUAACUCCGUGCCAGCAGCCGCGGUAAUACGGAGGGUGCAAGCGUUAUCCGGAUUCACUGGGUUUAAAGGGUGUGUAGGCGGGCUGUUAAGUCAGUGGUGAAAUCUCAAGGCUC
Molecule: ribosomal RNA, 275 nt
Filed under: uncultured bacterium
Lineage: Bacteria
Description: partial 16S ribosomal RNA
Rfam family: Bacterial small subunit ribosomal RNA
Source: RNAcentral